This is a long non-coding RNA of Olea europaea var. sylvestris, 492 nucleotides long. RefSeq lists it as uncharacterized. The record is from RefSeq and is a predicted model, not a curated record. The transcript has 3 exons. Lineage: Eukaryota; Viridiplantae; Streptophyta; Magnoliopsida; Lamiales; Oleaceae.
UCUUCAUUGUUUACCUUCAUUCUUUACCUCUGCUUUUCUGUGAAACGAGAAAACAUCUUUGAAAUAGUAUAGAAAUUAGACACCGGUAAUAUUUCAUGUUAGAUUACAUUAGUUAUCUCGUGGAAUCGAAGGCUGUAGUGGAGAGAUCUUUGUCAGGACAACUGUGUAAUCUUUUGGUAACGGCAAUUUCUACAUAAUUCAGGUAUAGUUUCUUUAAACAAUAUCCAUUUUACACUAAUUUUUUCAAUUUUUCUUAGUGAUAUGUGAAAUAUCUUUGAAUAUUUUUUAUAUACAGCUUUCAGUUCUUUUCUUGACUAUUUUGUGUAUUUCCAAUUUUCAACUUGUAUAUUUUUGCUUCAUUACUUUCAAUUGCUAUCCUGAUUUUUUUGUGCACUUCCAGUAGUCAACUUAUGAAUUUAUUAAGUUCAUGAUUUUUGAUGAAUUACUUACAUUAUAGAUUUAGAAAAAUAUUGGAUGUGUAGGUUGAUUGGG